GAUGAAGAACGUAGUGAAAUGCGAUAAGUAAUGUGAAUUGCAGAAUUCAGUGAAUCAUCGAAUCUUUGAACGCACAUUGCGCCCUGUGGUAUUCCGCAGGGCAUGCCUGUUCGAGCGUCAUUUCAACCCUCAAACUCUGCUUGGUGUUGGGCCCUGCCCGCUGCGGCCGGCCCUAAAGACAGUGGCGGUGCCGCCUGGCCCUGAGCGUAGUACAUCUCUCGCUCCAGUGCCCGGUGGUAGCCUGCCAGAACCCCAACUCUCGUGGUUGACCUCGGAUCAGGUAGGGAUACCCGCUGAACUUAAGCAUAUCAAUAAGCGGAGGA
RNAcentral lists this unclassified non-coding RNA (323 nucleotides) under soil metagenome. RNAcentral's name for it is "partial contains 5.8S ribosomal RNA, internal transcribed spacer 2, and large subunit ribosomal RNA". The stretch from base 1 to 120 matches the Rfam family "5.8S ribosomal RNA", at positions 35 to 154 of the family's 154-position model. The record is from RNAcentral.